RNAcentral lists this ribosomal RNA (496 nucleotides) under uncultured bacterium. Its description in RNAcentral is "partial 16S ribosomal RNA". It matches the Rfam family "Bacterial small subunit ribosomal RNA", at positions 28 to 506 of the family's 1533-position model. The record is from RNAcentral.
GAUGAACGCUGGCGGCGUGCCUAAUACAUGCAAGUCGAGCGAACAGACGAGGAGCUUGCUCCUCUGACGUUAGCGGCGGACGGGUGAGUAACACGUGGAUAACCUGCCUAUAAGACUGGGAUAACUUCGGGAAACCGGAGCUAAUACCGGAUAAUAUAUUGAACCGCAUGGUUCAAUAGUGAAAGACGGUUUUGCUGUCACUUAUAGAUGGAUCCGCGCCGCAUUAGCUAGUUGGUAAGGUAACGGCUUACCAAGGCAACGAUGCGUAGCCGACCUGAGAGGGGGAUCGGCCACACUGGAACUGAGACACGGUCCAGACUCCUACGGGAGGCAGCAGUAGGGAAUCUUCCGCAAUGGGCGAAAGCCUGACGGAGCAACGCCGCGUGAGUGAUGAAGGUCUUCGGAUCGUAAAACUCUGUUAUUAGGGAAGAACAAAUGUGUAAGUAACUAUGCACGUCUUGACGGUACCUAAUCAGAAAGCCACGGCUAACUACGU